RNAcentral lists this unclassified non-coding RNA (884 nucleotides) under Hevea brasiliensis (rubber tree). Lineage: Eukaryota; Viridiplantae; Streptophyta; Magnoliopsida; Malpighiales; Euphorbiaceae. The record is from RNAcentral.
CCACACCUCCCCCCCCAAAAGUCUUCUUGCCAUCCCUAACUCCAUUAUUGCUUUGCUAAUCCUAAUCUGUCUCAUAUUUCAAGAAAAACAGUAUGGAAAGUCCUCUGUAAAGGAAAGAAAUGGGAAGGCUCAAUCAUGAUUCAAGAAUCCACCACUUCAGCCACCCUCAUCCCCUAGAGCUAUCAAACAACAACCUUCAAUCUCUAUCUCCACAUACAACUCCAUGUUCAGCCUGUAAGCUCCAGUCUUCUGGGUGGAUAUACUCUUGUAAGCCCUGCAACUUCACCCUCCACUUGUCAUGCAGCCAACUUCCCUCUUUAAUCAACCACCCAGGCCAUCCCAUCCACCUGCUUACCCUCCUUCCCACCCCAGCUUACCCAGGUGGAGCUUUCAACUGUGAUGGUUGUGGCAGCGAUGGCCAUGGCUUCAGCUACCACUGCAACAAAUGUGGCUUUGAUGUUCACGCUACUUGUGCUCAAAACCCACUUUCACUUGCCCAUCAAUCUCACCCUCACAAUCUGCAUCUCACCUUUCACCCUCCUUACCACACCAAAGGCUUCUCCUGCGAUAUAUGCCAGAAGAUCGGGUCUAACCACUGGCUCUAUCGGUGUGGUCCAUGCGAGUUUGACGCUCACUUGGAGUGUGCAAUGAGUGCUAAUGUUAUGCCAAGGGGUCAGACUCAGGCUCAGGCUCAGGCUCAGGCUCGUUUUCAGCAAUGUCUGAAUUUCCCAGGAACGAAUCAUCAAUACCAGCAACAUGAGAAUAGAGUUCUUCCGCCUUCUAUGCAGAGGAAUAAUGGUACAACUGGUGUGGUGGAUGUACUGGUUCAAGGGUUUCUGGAUGGAGCUGCACAUCCGAGUUUUGUGCAAAGCAGCAUGGGUGAU